GCCGGGCAUGGUGGAGCAUGCCUGUAAUCCCAGUGCUCUGGAAGCUGAGGCAGGAGAUCACGAGUUCAGCAAUGGUGAGGUGCUAAGCAACUCAGUGAGACCCCGUCUCUA
RNAcentral lists this small RNA (111 nucleotides) under Marmota monax (woodchuck). The record is from RNAcentral. Lineage: Eukaryota; Metazoa; Chordata; Mammalia; Rodentia; Sciuridae.